GAUGAAGAACGCAGCGAAAUGCGAUACGUAGUGUGAAUUGCAGAAUUCAGUGAAUCACCGAAUCUUUGAACGCACAUUGCACCUCUCGGUAUUCCGGGAGGUAUGCCUGUUCGAGCGUCAUUUGUACCCUCAAGCUCUGCUUGGUGUUGGGUGUUUGUUCCGCCUCUGUGUGUGAACUCGCCUCAAAACAAUUGGCAGCCGGCGUACUUGUUUCGGAGCGCAGCACAUUUUGCGAUCCAGAUCAACGUACAGCGGCAUCCAAGAAGCCUUAUUUAACGCUCUUGACCUCGGAUCAGGUAGGGAUACCCGCUGAACUUAAGCAUAUCAAUAAGCGGAGGA
RNAcentral lists this unclassified non-coding RNA (339 nucleotides) under soil metagenome. Its description in RNAcentral is "partial contains 5.8S ribosomal RNA, internal transcribed spacer 2, and large subunit ribosomal RNA". The stretch from base 1 to 120 matches the Rfam family "5.8S ribosomal RNA", at positions 35 to 154 of the family's 154-position model. The record is from RNAcentral.